UACAAGGCUCAGAAAACACCAAAAAAAAAGCAUCAGAGGGGGGAAAUGUAGGAGGCAGAGUAAGAAGACUGUGUAACACAAAGACAUCGUUUGAACAUGACAUGUAACACCCAUAAACUCACGGUAGCUGUGGUUAGCAGCACAGGAUUGGACACACAGCAUGGCUACAGGCAGACCUGUGAGAAUCUACCUGUCCCUGGGGAUCCAUUGGCAGUUAACGGUCUCUGAGGAAGGGAGUAUCAUUUUCUUCAGUGAUACAGCCCCUGGUAUGUUACUCUUGCUCCAGUAAGUAACCUCCUACCCAAUCUUGUGCAAGAAACCUAAUUAAACUCAGUGGGUCUCACACAAGAAGGAAGGCAUGAAGGUAGGAGGGAGAACUCUUUGGACAAAAUGUUCCAGCAGGAAAGGGAGGAUAAGAAAGGGAAUGGAGAGUACAAAUAACUUCAAUUCAUUAGAUAGAUAGAUAGAUAGAUAGAUAGAUAGAUAGAUAGAUAGAUAGGUAGGUAGGUAGGUAGGUAGGUAGGUAGGUAGGUAGGUAGGUAGGUAGNNNNNNNNNNUGUAGGUAGGUAGGUAGAUAGAUAGAUCUCUUAGAAAGUACUGUCAAAAUUUUAAUGGGAAAAAAAACAGUAGAUUGUCAGACAAGAAAACAGCUAAGAGAGGAAGAGAGUUAAACACCCAGGCCUGUUUUGGUGGCAUGUUUGGUGAGGUUGUAGAACCUUUAAGAGGCACUUUUCUAGGAGAACUAUAUUCUGGGGGCAGGUGUUAAGGGUUCAUAGCCUGGUUUCCACUUCCAGUCUUGGAUCACUGCUUGGGUUAAGAGUUGGAUAUACUAUCUCUCACACUUCUGGCCUGAUGGCUUGCAGCCAUGCAUUCCCCUAAUGCUUGUAGACUCCCCCUCUGGAACACCCUAAGCCGAAAGAAACUCCUUUGCUGCCCUGGUGUUUAUAGUAGCAACAGAAAAGUGGCUUACGUAAGUUUCCAGAGAACAUACAAGAAUGACAAUGGCAGUUUCAGUCAAGACUGCUCACUUGGAAUAUAUUUGCCCAUCCUUUGUCCUGUUUGCCUACAAUGGCAUCUGCCCAUUCUGAGAACUGUUCCCUCAGGACCACGUGUCUCUGAAACCUGGGCCCCUCUUCCAUCCUACCAUUCCCAAGUCUAGAAACAAGAGAUGACCUGAGCCUGCACAUUUAUCUUCUCCAGCCUCCAAGACUGGGACCCUCGAAUACAAGAACAACUUAGGACAGCUUGGCUCAUAUUUAAGGAAGUCAGGACACGGUGAAUAUGAAUCCGUACAUGCAAUUUAUCAUGCCUGAUGCGGAGCAAGGAAACAAGAAUAAAACAAUCCAGGCUGCAGUGGCCA
RNAcentral lists this long non-coding RNA (1360 nucleotides) under Mus spicilegus (steppe mouse). RNAcentral's name for it is "lncRNA (ENSMSIG00000008659.1)". Lineage: Eukaryota; Metazoa; Chordata; Mammalia; Rodentia; Muridae. The record is from RNAcentral.